Molecule: ribosomal RNA, 300 nt
Filed under: uncultured Glomus
Lineage: Eukaryota; Fungi; Glomeromycota; Glomeromycetes; Glomerales; Glomeraceae
Description: SSU rRNA
Rfam family: Eukaryotic small subunit ribosomal RNA
Source: RNAcentral
CUUGAAUACAUUAGCAUGGAAUAAUGAAUAGGACGUUCGAUCCUAUUUGUUGGUUUCUAGGAUUGACGUAAUGAUUAAUAGGGAUAGUUGAGGCAUUAGUAUUCAAUUGUCAGAGGUGAAAUUCUUGGAUUUAUUGAAGACUAACUACUGCGAAAGCAUUUGCCAAGGAUGUUUUCAUUAAUCAAGAACGAAAGUUAGGGGAUCGAAGACGAUCAGAUACCGUCGUAGUCUUAACCAUAAACUAUGCCGACUAGGGAUCGGAUGAUGUUAAUUUUUUAAUGACUCAUUCGGCGCCUUACG